This is a long non-coding RNA of Dreissena polymorpha, 933 nucleotides long. RefSeq lists it as uncharacterized. The record is from RefSeq and is a predicted model, not a curated record. The transcript has 3 exons. Lineage: Eukaryota; Metazoa; Mollusca; Bivalvia; Myida; Dreissenidae.
UGCAGGUGAGGCGAUGUCUACCUGAUGUCUUGCUGGCAACCAUGAAUGUGCUGCACAGUCAGUACAAGUCUGCAAGGAACACUGCUCCUCAGAGUCCACUGGUGCGAGGAAAGAACGCAGAUGGAGGAAAGGAAUCGUACUUGAGCUACUUGCGCAGCCAGGCCAAGGCACUGAUCAUGUUUGCAGGCAUGUUGCCGUAUCGGUUACCGGGGGAUACAUACGCCAGACUCGUGCAGGUUGAGGUGCUCAUGAACUGAAGGGGGGGGUCAAGAGGUAUUGCAUCACUCUAAGUGUGGGUGGGUGGGGGAGGGGGGCAGAACUGCAGCGGUAGGGGUGGAGAGCUGAUGUUGUGGAGUGAAGGACAAUAUACCACUAUUUGUGUUCUGCAGGAUUUGAUAACAUCCUCAAAAUGCCUGUCAAUCAGUCCUUUAUAAAAAAAAAAAAUUUAUGCUAAAGGGAUGAUAUCUUUUGAUAGCGCUUAAAUCAACAAUAAAUUGGUAGAAUGAUUGUUAUGCUCUUUGUAAUCAAAUUUUGUGGAUGAAAUUAUUUGAUACCAUUUAUAUCCAACAAUUACUUUAUUUUGUGUGGAUUUUGCCACAAUAUGACCAGUCCAAUUUAGGGUAAUUUUCUGGAACUUGACAUGAAAGCACUAUGAGCUUGUGGAAUUUUCAAAACAGAACUUAAUGAAUGUCCGCACAUGCUUAUUAGGUAUGAAACUUUUCUGCUUUUAUUGAAUUGUUUGUGUAACGGAAGUCUCUUCUUAACAAAAAUCAAGUUAUGGUGGGAAAAGUCAUCCCAGAUUAGCCUGUUCAGACUGCACACAGGUCCACAUAGCGUUAUGUUUUGGUUGAUAUCAUGUCAAUAGUGUCAUGUUAUCUACAUGCAUUAUUGUUGUUCAUUAUUACAGAAGUAUAAAAUAAAGAGAGAAAGGAA